AGAACGAACGCUGGCGGCAUGCCUAACACAUGCAAGUCGAACGCCCCCUUCGGGGGGAGUGGCGCACGGGUGAGUAACGCGUGGGAACCUGCCCCGAGGUGGGAGAUAACCGAUGGAAACGUCGGCUAAUACCGCAUACGUCCUAAGGGAGAAAGAUUUAUCGCCUUGGGAGGGGCCCGCGUCGGAUUAGCUAGUUGGUGGGGUAACGGCCUACCAAGGCGAUGAUCCGUAGCUGGUCUGAGAGGAUGAUCAGCCACACUGGGACUGAGACACGGCCCAGACUCCUACGGGAGGCAGCAGUGGGGAAUAUUGGACAAUGGGCGCAAGCCUGAUCCAGCAAUGCCGCGUGAGUGAUGAAGGCCUUAGGGUUGUAAAGCUCUUUCGCCGCGACGAUGAUGACGGUAGCGGGAGAAGAAGCCCGGCUAACUUCGUGCCAGCAGCCGC
Molecule: ribosomal RNA, 444 nt
Filed under: uncultured bacterium
Lineage: Bacteria
Description: SSU rRNA
Rfam family: Bacterial small subunit ribosomal RNA
Source: RNAcentral